UGGAGGAUUGAGAAAGUUAAGUUGCUCUUAAGUGCUGCUCCAACUGGUUACAACCUCCAAAAGAAAAAGCAAUGCAUUCACUUAAAUUCACACUGCUGUGUGCAAGAGUGACGUGAUGCUUGUGAACAAAUA
Molecule: small nucleolar RNA, 132 nt
Organism: Boleophthalmus pectinirostris (great blue-spotted mudskipper)
Lineage: Eukaryota; Metazoa; Chordata; Actinopteri; Gobiiformes; Gobiidae
Product: small nucleolar RNA SNORA47
Exons: 1
Source: RefSeq, a predicted model, not a curated record